GAGUUUGAUCCUGGCUCAGAGCGAACGCUGGCGGCAGGCUUAACACAUGCAAGUCGAGCGGGCGUAGCAAUACGUCAGCGGCAGACGGGUGAGUAACACGUGGGAACGUACCUUUUGGUUCGGAACAACUGAGGGAAACUUCAGCUAAUACCGGAUAAGCCCUAACGGGGAAAGAUUUAUCGCCGAAAGAUCGGCCCGCGUCUGAUUAGCUAGUUGGUGAGGUAAUGGCUCACCAAGGCGACGAUCAGUAGCUGGUCUGAGAGGAUGAUCAGCCACACUGGGACUGAGACACGGCCCAGACUCCUACGGGAGGCAGCAGUGGGGAAUAUUGGACAAUGGGGGCAACCCUGAUCCAGCCAUGCCGCGUGAGUGAUGAAGGCCCUAGGGUUGUAAGCUCUUUGUGCGGGAAGAUAAUGACGGUACCGCAAGAAUAAGCCCCGACUAACUUCGUGCCAGCAGCCGCCGCGGUAAC
RNAcentral lists this ribosomal RNA (472 nucleotides) under uncultured microorganism. RNAcentral's name for it is "bacterial SSU rRNA". It matches the Rfam family "Bacterial small subunit ribosomal RNA", at positions 9 to 524 of the family's 1533-position model. The record is from RNAcentral.